This 1436-nucleotide ribosomal RNA is filed under the name Lactiplantibacillus plantarum. Its description in RNAcentral is "bacterial SSU rRNA". It matches the Rfam family "Bacterial small subunit ribosomal RNA". The record is from RNAcentral. Lineage: Bacteria; Bacillati; Bacillota; Bacilli; Lactobacillales; Lactobacillaceae.
GCAAGUCGAACGAACUCUGGUAUUGAUUGGUGCUUGCAUCAUGAUUUACAUUUGAGUGAGUGGCGAACUGGUGAGUAACACGUGGGAAACCUGCCCAGAAGCGGGGGAUAACACCUGGAAACAGAUGCUAAUACCGCAUAACAACUUGGACCGCAUGGUCCGAGUUUGAAAGAUGGCUUCGGCUAUCACUUUUGGAUGGUCCCGCGGCGUAUUAGCUAGAUGGUGGGGUAACGGCUCACCAUGGCAAUGAUACGUAGCCGACCUGAGAGGGUAAUCGGCCACAUUGGGACUGAGACACGGCCCAAACUCCUACGGGAGGCAGCAGUAGGGAAUCUUCCACAAUGGACGAAAGUCUGAUGGAGCAACGCCGCGUGAGUGAAGAAGGGUUUCGGCUCGUAAAACUCUGUUGUUAAAGAAGAACAUAUCUGAGAGUAACUGUUCAGGUAUUGACGGUAUUUAACCAGAAAGCCACGGCUAACUACGUGCCAGCAGCCGCGGUAAUACGUAGGUGGCAAGCGUUGUCCCGGAUUUAUUGGGCGUAAAGCGAGCGCAGGCGGUUUUUUAAGUCUGAUGUGAAAGCCUUCGGCUCAACCGAAGAAGUGCAUCGGAAACUGGGAAACUUGAGUGCAGAAGAGGACAGUGGAACUCCAUGUGUAGCGGUGAAAUGCGUAGAUAUAUGGAAGAACACCAGUGGCGAAGGCGGCUGUCUGGUCUGUAACUGACGCUGAGGCUCGAAAGUAUGGGUAGCAAACAGGAUUAGAUACCCUGGUAGUCCAUACCGUAAACGAUGAAUGCUAAGUGUUGGAGGGUUUCCGCCCUUCAGUGCUGCAGCUAACGCAUUAAGCAUUCCGCCUGGGGAGUACGGCCGCAAGGCUGAAACUCAAAGGAAUUGACGGGGGCCCGCACAAGCGGUGGAGCAUGUGGUUUAAUUCGAAGCUACGCGAAGAACCUUACCAGGUCUUGACAUACUAUGCAAAUCUAAGAGAUUAGACGUUCCCUUCGGGGACAUGGAUACAGGUGGUGCAUGGUUGUCGUCAGCUCGUGUCGUGAGAUGUUGGGUUAAGUCCCGCAACGAGCGCAACCCUUAUUAUCAGUUGCCAGCAUUAAGUUGGGCACUCUGGUGAGACUGCCGGUGACAAACCGGAGGAAGGUGGGGAUGACGUCAAAUCAUCAUGCCCCUUAUGACCUGGGCUACACACGUGCUACAAUGGAUGGUACAACGAGUUGCGAACUCGCGAGAGUAAGCUAAUCUCUUAAAGCCAUUCUCAGUUCGGAUUGUAGGCUGCAACUCGCCUACAUGAAGUCGGAAUCGCUAGUAAUCGCGGAUCAGCAUGCCGCGGUGAAUACGUUCCCGGGCCUUGUACACACCGCCCGUCACACCAUGAGAGUUUGUAACACCCAAAGUCGGUGGGGUAACCUUUUAGGAACCAGCCGCU